GGGAAAGUUGGAUGAUGAUUUUGAAUGAAUGAGGAUGAAGAUGAACUGUUAGCCUUAAAGCUUGUAUGAGGUAGUCGGAACACGAAGAGCUGUGAAGUAGGAGUGUUGUUCUUCUGACAGAAGAGAGUCCAAUGCCACAUCCUUGACUAUGGAUGAAGAGUGCACAGCAGUCUGGAAAAUGAAUUUAUCACUGAUCAGUUGCUUUCAAAAAUUACCUUAUCUGACAGUUCCCUCUUCAAGUAGAAGAGCUUUUAUAGUGCUGGUUCUUCAGUUUAGAAACUUGGAUAUUUGGUCCACAAUGCCAUUUCUUUCUGAGGUUCUGUAACAGUUCUGCUAAAUAAAAAAGUUAGCAUUCAACACAAUUUCAAAUUAUAAAGAACCAAGCUAAUAAUAAAUUCUGUUACUUAAUCCUGUUAGAGUUUGAGAUGUUUUGUGCUGUUACUUAGACUUGAGAAGUUAAAUCCAAUAUUAAGGAAAACCAGAAAGACAAUUUUCUUUUACUGCAUUGUGUUUUGAUGUUCAAUUGUCUAAAAAUUGCAUUAUUGUCAUUUGCCUUAGGUCUCAUUAAGAAAAGAGGUAAAUUUUAUGCCUCUUACCUUUUUCCUUUCUGAAACUGAAAUAGGGUGUCCUAUUCCUCCCAUGUUACAAUACCCAGCAAUUCCAGGAUUUUCACUUGCAUUCUUUAAGGCUUGCAGCUAAUGUUUCCCACUAUGAGGACACAGACACCAUUAUAUAUAGUGGCAAUGGGAAGGAACCCCCUCCAAUUAAAUAGAUUGUAAUAUUAACCUGCCAUUAAAUAAAUUGCAAUAUGAAUAAUGUUGUUAGUUAUUGUUAUCUAUUAAUUUCAUUUUAUAUGUGUUUUCUGGUAGCACUUUAAAAACUGCCACCAGUUACCUGCAUUGAUUAAAGAAAGUAGUGAUACUGCUGUGUUGUAACAUGGAUUGAAAUCUAACUAGGUGCCCUUUUCAGUAUCUGCAUUAUUGUUGUCAUUAAAUCCAUUAGUUUGAGAAUAAAACUUUUAAAUUGCUCGAUUACUUAGAACUUAUACUUUUGCUUAAUGAGUUGUCCUUUAUUGGAUAUUACAGUCAGCAGUGCUGUAUCUAGUAUCUAUAAAUACUGCAAAUACACUA
This is a long non-coding RNA of Parus major (Great Tit), 1130 nucleotides long. RefSeq lists it as uncharacterized. The transcript is spliced from 2 exons. NCBI's taxonomy places the organism in Eukaryota, Metazoa, Chordata, Aves, Passeriformes, Paridae. The record is from RefSeq and is a predicted model, not a curated record.